UACGUAGGCAGCAAGCGUUGUUCGGAAUUACUGGGCGUAAAGAGUGUGUAGGCGGUGCUCUAAGUCUGUUGUGAAAUCUCCCGGCUUAACUGGGAGGGUGCGGCGGAGACUGGAGUGCUCGAGUGUGGGAGAGGUAAGCGGAAUUCCUGGUGUAGCGGUGAAAUGCGUAGAUAUCGUGAGGAACACCAGAGGCGAAGGCGGCUACCUGGACAAUUGCUGACGCUCAGGCACGAAAGCGUGGGGAGCAAAAGGG
Molecule: ribosomal RNA, 253 nt
Filed under: uncultured bacterium
Lineage: Bacteria
Description: partial 16S ribosomal RNA
Rfam family: Bacterial small subunit ribosomal RNA
Source: RNAcentral